UACGUAGGUGGUCUUUCAAGUCGGUGGUUAAAGGCUACGGCUCAACCGUAUUAAGCCGCCGAAACUGGAAGACUUGAGUGCAGGAGAGGAAGGUGGAAUUCUCAGUGUAGCGGUGAAAUGCGUAGAUAUUGGGAAGAACACCAGUAGCGAAGGCGGCUUUCUGGACUGCAACUGACACUGAGGCACGAAAGCGUGGGUAGCAAACA
This 206-nucleotide ribosomal RNA is filed under the name uncultured bacterium. RNAcentral's name for it is "partial 16S ribosomal RNA". It matches the Rfam family "Bacterial small subunit ribosomal RNA", at positions 568 to 774 of the family's 1533-position model. The record is from RNAcentral.